Molecule: microRNA precursor, 64 nt
Filed under: Homo sapiens (human)
Lineage: Eukaryota; Metazoa; Chordata; Mammalia; Primates; Hominidae
Description: Hsa-Mir-1269_pre stem-loop
Source: RNAcentral
AGUUGGCAUGGCUCAGUCCAAGUCUGACCACCUGAGGAAUGCCUGGACUGAGCCGUGCUACUGG